GGAAAAGCAGUCCUGUGUUCUCUACUGCAACUGGAAGAUUCGUGAUUCACCUGGGUUAGCCUGUUCUUCAACCAGAGUUUAUAGGAAUAAAUAUAGUUCUAACCAGGGCACAUAAUCCUGCUUUCUUUAUCUCAGCAUAUCUCGUCUCCGAAAUUGUUUCCAUAGAUCUCUGAGAUGUUCACUGGUUACAGUCAUCACACAAGAGUAAUAUUCCUUCCAACCAUACUUGGGACUCUCCGUAACUUAUCUGCUAUAGAGUUCCU
This 263-nucleotide long non-coding RNA is filed under the name Gallus gallus (chicken). The record is from RNAcentral. Lineage: Eukaryota; Metazoa; Chordata; Aves; Galliformes; Phasianidae.